This 71-nucleotide transfer RNA is filed under the name Marmota monax (woodchuck). RNAcentral describes it as "tRNA.Ala". Lineage: Eukaryota; Metazoa; Chordata; Mammalia; Rodentia; Sciuridae. The record is from RNAcentral.
GGGGUUGUGGCUCAGUGGUAGAGUGCUCAUGUAGCACACGUGAGGCACUGGGUUUAAUACUCAGCACCACA